Molecule: long non-coding RNA, 420 nt
Organism: Vollenhovia emeryi
Lineage: Eukaryota; Metazoa; Arthropoda; Insecta; Hymenoptera; Formicidae
Exons: 3
Source: RefSeq, a predicted model, not a curated record
GUUGAAGAUAAAAUCAUUCGACGAUCGAAAACUUACGAGUGAAUUCGCCAAGACUCAACAUUAUGUUUCCCCAUCCCCGAUUUUAAACGAUAUUGAUGAAUUGCCAUUGUCGCAAACACUCAAACGUACGCCUUCGCAGAAGUCUCAGAACGAGCAAGAGGCGGAAAUUACGUCAGUGGGCAGGAAGUUUUUCAAGCGUCCCAUUCAACUGCAAACUUACAGCAAACGACGAAGAACUUGAAGAAGAUUUACGAGAAGAUCAUCGUUUUCGGAUGGGACACAUCUGUAAGAGUAUCUUAUUCUUUUUGUUUAUCUCUUAUUAUAUUGUAUUUUCUUGUCUCCUUCGAAAUUAACUGAAAAUGUAUUUACAAAAUACAUAUAAGAUUUUCAUUAAGAAAUUAUAAAUACGAGUUCACAGAA